CGAAAGCCUGACGGAGCAACGCCGCGUGAGGGAUGAAGGCCUCUGGGCUGUAAACCUCUUUUAUCAAGGAAGAAGAACUGACGGUACUUGAUGAAUAAGCCACGGCUAAUUCCGUGCCAGCAGCCGCGGUAAUACGGGAGUGGCAAGCGUUAUCCGGAAUUAUUGGGCGUAAAGCGUCCGCAGGCGGUUUUACAAGUCUGUCGUUAAAGCGUGGAGCUCAACUCCAUUUCAGCGAUGGAAACUGUAAGACUCGAGUGUGGUAGGGGCAGAGGGAAUUCCCGGUGUAGCGGUGAAAAGCGUAGAUAUCGGGAAGAACACCAGUGGCGAAAGCGCUCUGCUGGGCCAUAACUGACGCUCAUGGACGAAAGCCAGGGGAGCGAAAG
RNAcentral lists this ribosomal RNA (383 nucleotides) under uncultured bacterium. Its description in RNAcentral is "bacterial SSU rRNA". It matches the Rfam family "Bacterial small subunit ribosomal RNA", at positions 376 to 774 of the family's 1533-position model. The record is from RNAcentral.